This 1777-nucleotide long non-coding RNA is filed under the name Salvia miltiorrhiza (redroot sage). Its description in RNAcentral is "long non-coding RNA (SMIL_LNC008779)". The record is from RNAcentral. Lineage: Eukaryota; Viridiplantae; Streptophyta; Magnoliopsida; Lamiales; Lamiaceae.
GCCCUUGUUAUUCUUCCCCGAGUAAAAGCAAGGCUGGAAGUAAACAAAUGUUGAAAUACCCAUCACGCAGGGCUGGAAAUUCCCCAGUUCAGCGUGAAACAUCGCGCAGGGCUGGACUUUCCCAUCCCCGGUAAUGCAGCCACGGAACGAGGUGCAGAAUAACUGCCCUGACUCGCCUUGUCCACCCCUGCUGUAAACCCAUUUCCAGGCAGCUCUGGCAAGUCGCGUGAAAGUCCAUUUACAGCUUUGACGACCCUAUUCAUUCAAUUGCGCCUCAGUCUAAAUGUUGCAACCGCCCUAAAAAGGAAAGACAGUGGAGAAUUCAGUAAAUUGAGAUUUCAGAAUCCCCAAAUUCACUAGCCUUUGGGGCUUUGAUUCCCAAAACGUUGCUCCCCCACUUUUGGUGAAAACUGAAGACGAGAGUUCCAGAAUUUCCCCAAUUUCUCCUAAAAUUUCCAGAUGUGGACCAACCAAUUGAGGAGAACCAUUAGUAUUUUGAGUCCAAAUAUUUAAACAUCUUUUUUUUAAAAAUGAGAACCCCAUUGCAUUUUCGGACAUUGAUAUCCCCCUAUCGAAUAUAUAGCGAAAUGGCUGCGUGAGUUUCUCCCUCAAAAAAUUUGGCAACUAACAGAACGGUAAUCGGCAACGCGCACAGGCGAAGGUGUGCAGUGUAUCUCCCGUGGAUAGAGUCCCCGUGCCCAGCAGUAUGGCAGAAUGAGAGAGAGGGAAGGUCGGCGGCGUGGUGUGGUGUCGCUUCUGAUCUACCAUGAAGACCCAAGCCAUUCUAGCUUUCCCAGAGAUCCCGCGGCCGCAAUUAUCAGAGACAGGUGUGUGGCGUCAGUCUGACCUUCUUCUUCUUCAGCUGGGCGAUGGUGAGGUCCGAUUUCAGGUUUCCACCUAAUAUGGCGAUACAUUUUUGGAAUUUUCCCUCAUUCACGUGAAGAACCACAUAGAAAUUUGAGGCAGAUUUUGUAGAUUCCAGCCGAUCCCCUUUCUCCCGAUAGUACUUUUCCCAAAUUCAAAUUUUCGCUAAUCGGCCUCUAAUUUGGUGAGAAGAAUUACCAGCAAAAGUUUUCGCAGGAGGAAACACUUAGCCAUUUACCCAAAACUUUUGAGACUAUAUAUUUACCACUUUUUCCAAAAGAAAUUCGCUCAAGCUCUAUUCCCCAAAAUUUUCCCCCCUUUUCCCCAAAAAUCAAGAGAUUCACCAUUUUUUCUAUAGAAAACCGAGAGAGAGUUGAAGAUUAUGCAAUUGUAAGAAAUUCCCCAAAGCUACCAAGCUAAUUUUUUUUUUUUUUUUUUUUUUUUUUUUAGUUUUUCAUAUUUUUCUAGAGAGAAUCUUAUAGGAGUGGAAAUUUAAAAUGCCGAAUCCCUUAUGUUUUUUCUUUUAAAAUGCUCUCUCUUAUCAUAGAAAGUAAUUUAUGCCUUAAAAGACUAAAUUACCCUUAAUUGGGUCAACAUCAAAUGUAAUCAUAUGACACUUCUUACACAUUCUUACAGACUCAUCACUUUCAAUGCAUUUUUUUACAAGAAUUAGUGAUGUUGACCAAAUUCAUGGUUUUGAGUGCAUUAAAAAUUGUGUUUUUUGUUUUUAUUAUUUAUUUUAAGUGCAUGAAUGCAUGCGAAUUUUUUAUUUUCCUUUUUUCUUUUUCUUUUUUGACAUUUUUCUGGGACAUCAUUCAUUAUUAAUGGGCAAAAAUGUGGAGUGGAAAUUAAUGUGUCCGAGCGUGUGUAUGUAUGUAUAUAUAUUUUUGAACGUUACUAUUAACACUAUAUA